AUACGUAGGGUGCGAGCGUUGUCCGGAAUUACUGGGCGUAAAGAGCUCGUAGGUGGUUUGUCGCGUCGUCUGUGAAAUUCCGGGGCUUAACUCCGGGCGUGCAGGCGAUACGGGCAUAACUUGAGUACUGUAGGGGAGACUGGAAUUCCUGGUGUAGCGGUGAAAUGCGCAGAUAUCAGGAGGAACACCGGUGGCGAAGGCGGGUCUCUGGGCAGUAACUGACGCUGAGGAGCGAAAGCAUGGGUAGCGAACAGGAUUAGAUACCCUGGUAGUCCAUGCCGUAAACGGUGGGCGCUAGGUGUAGGGGUCUUCCACGACUUCUGUGCCGUAGCUAACGCAUUAAGCGCCCCGGCUGGGGAGUACGGCCGCAAGGCUAAAACUCAAAGGAAUUGACGGGG
Molecule: ribosomal RNA, 398 nt
Filed under: uncultured bacterium
Lineage: Bacteria
Description: partial 16S ribosomal RNA
Rfam family: Bacterial small subunit ribosomal RNA
Source: RNAcentral